This 351-nucleotide ribosomal RNA is filed under the name Fischerella thermalis CCMEE 5319. RNAcentral describes it as "bacterial LSU rRNA". It matches the Rfam family "Bacterial large subunit ribosomal RNA", at positions 2562 to 2925 of the family's 2925-position model. The record is from RNAcentral. Lineage: Bacteria; Bacillati; Cyanobacteriota; Cyanophyceae; Nostocales; Hapalosiphonaceae.
GUCCCAAGGGUUGGGCUGUUCGCCCAUUAAAGUGGCACGCGAGCUGGGUUCAGAACGUCGCGAGACAGUUCGGUCUCUAUCUAUUGCGGGCGUUAGAAAUUUGAGGGGAGCUGCCAUUAGUACGAGAGGACCGUGGCGGACGCACCUCUGGUGUACCUGUUGUGGCGCCAGCUGCACCGCAGGGUAGCCAUGUGCGGCAGUGAUAAGCGCUGAAAGCAUAUAAGCGCGAAACAUACCCCGAGAUGAGAUUUCUUUUAAGGGUCGUUCGAGAAGAGGACGUUGAUAGGCUGCAGGUGUACAGGCAGUAAUGUCAUAGCCGAGCAGUACUAAUUACCCGUAGACUUCCUCAAC